RNAcentral lists this microRNA precursor (103 nucleotides) under Marmota monax (woodchuck). The record is from RNAcentral. Lineage: Eukaryota; Metazoa; Chordata; Mammalia; Rodentia; Sciuridae.
AAUGGGAUAGCUGGGUCAAAUGGCAGUUCUAUUCCAAGUUUUCAAAGCUAUCUCCAUACUGUUUUCCAGAUCGGCUGCACUAAUUUGCACUCUCACCAGCAAU